Molecule: non-coding RNA, 2094 nt
Organism: Durio zibethinus
Lineage: Eukaryota; Viridiplantae; Streptophyta; Magnoliopsida; Malvales; Malvaceae
Source: RefSeq, a predicted model, not a curated record
UAUACUCUUUAUAUUGUGUUUCUUUUUUUGGUCAAACCUCCAUGCCCCGUUUCAUCUUUUUGUGCCCUUUCUUGAGACUCUAUUUCUUUUCUCCCAUGGCAGUUUUGAUUUUUUAGUUUCCUCCCUACAACAAACCCAACCACAGCCUAAUCUAAUCGACCACCCACCCAAGUCCUUGUCUCUUUGUCUACUCUUCGGCGCCCAUACCCUAAGAGAGUGUUUGGUUCGAGGAAAAAUUAUAUUACUGGUUGAAAUCACUACAAAAAUAUGUAAUUUUAAAGGUAUUUGUUUCUUGGGGGUUUGGGGAGCAGCCGGUGCUUUCCUAUAAUACUUUGUAUUUCUUUUGAGAAAAAUGAAACUGCCGCUAAACACAAAUGAUUUAGCACUAAUAGCCUCUAAUAAGAAAUAGAAACACUAUCCUUUCCCGAUGAUCUUUCUUCAAACAAAAAUUUUUCAGUCUCGCAUCUUUUGCGUGAUUUUCUUUUUUUCAUCUCUCUCUUUUUGUUCUUCUCCCGUAUUUAUUGAUUGAAAAAUUAGAAAAUCAUACCCUAACUUUUGAAAAUCAAAGUCAAAAUCAUCUCAAAUCAAUUUUUCUCCCAUAAGAUUUGAAGCUAUUUUCCCCAUUUUUUGAAAAUCAAACCCUAAUUUUUGAAAAUUACCAUUUUCACCAUCUUCUUCGUCAUCUCUACCACAAUUGAUUCAUCUUGUUAUUGCUAAAAUCAUUUCUUCAGUGAGAUAAUUUCACCAAAAUAAGUGAUGCAAAGCGACUAACAGCAUAAAUGAUGCUUCAUUUAUAAUUUUGGUUUUUAUGCAAGUCGAGUGCGUUAAUCACUAAGAAUGGUUGUUUAUAAUGUUUAGUCUACUGCUGUUUAUGCAAUUAUCAAGAUUAUUUGCCUCUGGACUGGAAGUAAACUGAAAGAUUUUCGUUGCAGAUCACAUAGCGUAUUCAAAUUUGUAUGGUCAUGAAUUGUUUUAUUUGAACGACAAUCUAGAUUAAAAGUCGGCAAUUUCUUUCAUUCUUGGGUUUCUCGUAUCCAACUGCUUCUUCAAUUUAAGGUGUCUAUUUUCUUUUCCAUUUUCUUUUUCUUUUUGUAAUUUCUAUGGUUUAAUUCUAUGAGCCAUUUUCAAUUAUGUUAUGAGAUUUUUUUUUUUGUUUGAGAAAUAGAUGGUAUUUUUUUUAUUCCUUUCUCUGCUAUUAAUAGAUUAAAAAAAUUAGAAAAUCAUACCCUAAUUUUUCCUGUUCCACUCCCCCAAUUGUCAUUUUCUUUGUCAUCUCCGUCACCGCCAUAUUGGAAAUUGAUUCUGAUAUCCAGUUUGUUAAAACCCAAAUUGUGUGUGAAUUGAAACUUUAAUGGUAUUCCUAGCAUUGUACCUUGAAUCAGUCAGUAUAUGCCUUGUUAGGCUGAGGAAAGACGUUAAAAAGCGUGUGCUAUUUGCGAUGUUUUAUAGUUUUCAUUAAUAGUCAUUGCUAAUUUAGUAAUAAUUAGGUUGCAGCAAUUGUUACCCAACCACCUUCUAGAAGAGAUAGGGGCAGAAAUGUGAUUCGUUCACUAGUGGCACAACAUGCUCUUGAUAAAGGCUUUCCUUUUGAGCUCAUCUUCACACCUGAACAUGCUGGAGAGCUGCUGCAAUGUUUAACUUGGGGUUGUUUGAAGGUGAGAUAAGUGGAGAUGCUUUCCAACUUCUUGAAAUGAGUGAGAUGGGAAUGUUCCUAGCCAUCUUUGCUUCAAGGAUCUAAAGAGGAUAGAAAGAGAUGGAAGAAUGACUGUUGAGAACAAUUUGAAUGGAAAAAGGCUACUAGAACAAAAUGAUUUGCUUUUUGAAGAUGACUGGAAGAGGAAGAUUAUCAGCCAAGUGUAAUGCUAAAUAUUGAGUAUUCUUCUUUUAAAUCUGUAGUUGUCUAUAUUUACAAGUUAGCAUUUAUCUUAUUAAGGGUGUUCUUUGUUUUGCCUAUCUUGCUUUGUAAUUUGAUAGAGCCAAUAAGCAUUUUACUUUUUGAUAGCUGCCUUGCACUGUUUUGGAUCUUUAUGUAAUUUGCAUAUAUGAUUUGUUAUGUAUGAUUUUCAUAUUAUUAAUAAACUUUAAGUUUAAUUA